Molecule: ribosomal RNA, 275 nt
Filed under: uncultured bacterium
Lineage: Bacteria
Description: partial 16S ribosomal RNA
Rfam family: Bacterial small subunit ribosomal RNA
Source: RNAcentral
GCGUGAGUGAUGAAGGCCUUAGGGUUGUAAAGCUCUUUUACUAGGGAUGAUAAUGACAGUACCUAGAGAAUAAGCUCCGGCUAACUCCGUGCCAGCAGCCGCGGUAAUACGGAGGGAGCUAGCGUUGUUCGGAAUUACUGGGCGUAAAGCGCGCGUAGGCGGCCAACCAAGUCAGGGGUGAAAUCCCGGGGCUCAACCCCGGAACUGCCCUUGAAACUGGUAGGCUAGAAUAUUGGAGAGGUAAGUGGAAUUCCGAGUGUAGAGGUGAAAUUCGU